AAGUGCAGAAUGAGUCAACUCUUGACAAGAAAAACUUCUAAAUAACAAGUAAUCUUACAAGAGCAUCAUCUGAAGUUCUGCAGCUAUAACCUUCUGCUAUCCUAUAACACCCGACCAUCAUAAAAAAUAAAAAUAAAAACAAAAACCACACACAGUAGAGAGUAUGUAAACCAUAACAAAAGUCCUGUAAUUAAAUACAAACCAGAAAAUCACAACUUAUAAUUGUUUCCUUAGUCGCUAAAAUCUACACUUCCACUGCGAGAACUGCUGGCAUUGCGACUAUGCAAUGACAGACCCCUCAUAUGGCCAGACACUGCAGAACCAUCUACCUUCUUUUCCUGAAAGAAUCUCUCCCUUUCCAUGUGUUUUGCAGGGGGUGGGGGAAUUACAACUGGUGGAGGAUUUGCACUUGGAUCACUUGACUGAUCCGAAUGAAGUGGUCUUAUAAGAGGACGGUUCAAUCUCUCUCUCUCUCCUGGAAUAGACGAUCCAAGCAUGCCCAUAGAGAGGCGCUCAUCUGAGUUCCCUUCAUCUUCAUUCCUUGCACAAGCCUUUCCUUUUCGUAAUCUUCGGAAAAGCUGCUCAGGCUCCUCCUCUUCCUCCUCUGCUUCAUCAAGACCAAAAUGAUUUGCAGUUGUAGUAGUUCUAUCUGAAAUUGCAGACCUAUCUGAGACAGAAAGCAUAGAUCUACCAGAGAUAAGGGCAUCAUGUCGUGCCAGAACUUUCUGAAGCUGCUCAUUUAAUUCAAUUGCACGAGAGACUACCUUUUCAUCCCUGGACAAUAAGAGUAGUGAGAUUGAGAGAAUGAAUUUAAGUCACAAUGGGCAUUACCUGUGUCUACAUUUAUCUAUGGCUAGGCUAUAUGAAUUUAUGCCACAAUGUUGAGGGGAAAGAAUGCCUAAUUACAUUUAUCAAAUGUUGUUCAAUGACAAUAACAAACAGAAUUGAUUAGGGAACUUCCGGCAGACCACUUUCAGAAAGUUUUUCCUACAAUUUUAUGGCCAAAUAGUAUUCAGAUGAUGUAUUCAGCAGGGAAUACCUUAACAACCUUUUGGAAAUUUAUCUAAACAACAACAAAUCUAUUAUAGAAUAUCAAAUUUUGAAUUAUUUUUUCUUAACUUUUGAAGCCUCAUAACUUUCUUAUUAAAUCCAAAAAGUGCAAAUAAUACAGCAAUGGAAAGCUUGACAUCUCUACUUUCACAUGGCAUGAAAAUUAAAUCUAUUGAAUUUAUGUACAGCAAGACAUAAUUGUCCAAAGUAGGCCUUCUAACCACUUUUGCAAAAAUUCCAGAAUUACAAAAAAAAAAAUUCCAAAAGCCAUUUUAAUCAUAAAGCUCACGUAAUUCAUGUUAUACAACACAUCCAGACUAGGAUAAACAAGAACAAAGAAUCUCAUACCAAUUUUAGCUUAUUAAACCCAAGAAAAGAAGGAUUUCAUGCAAAACACUAAGCUUCCAACCUUGCAUCACUAGUCAAUGUUUGAUUACGUAAACACAAAUCAAAACAUAUAUUUCACAGUCUAAGAGUUACAUAGACUGCAGUGAACUCCAAAUAUACUUGAGAAAGAAAAAAACUAGAGAUGGACCUUCAAUUACACCACCUUAGCACGCCCUUUUCUUUUGCUCUUCAAGAACCAAUUCUACAGCUUACCUUGCCCUUGCUUCCUUAUUUAAAAAUACAACGCCCUGGGGUCCAUGUACUGCACGUAGAGAGGAGUUAAUCCCCUCCACGUUUUUGGCAGUUUCACUUUUCAUGAAAUUGCUUCUCCUUUCUUCUUGAUUUUUUUUUUUUAAUUUCAUAUUCCUCAUGAAGCUGGGCUUUCUUAAUGAGCCAGCAUGGGUGGACUUCUUGUCAAGGGCUCAUAUCCAUCAUUUUGGUGAAUUUUUUAAUUUGUACUAGAUAGAAAAUGUGUGUUGAAAUGAAAAUAUAAAAUUUUAGGUUUCACACAUUAUGCGUGUGUACACAAACAAACAUAUUAUGAUUAAGGAAGUAGAGUAGU
Molecule: unclassified non-coding RNA, 1999 nt
Filed under: Hevea brasiliensis (rubber tree)
Lineage: Eukaryota; Viridiplantae; Streptophyta; Magnoliopsida; Malpighiales; Euphorbiaceae
Source: RNAcentral